This 73-nucleotide transfer RNA is filed under the name Ixodes scapularis (black-legged tick). It matches the Rfam family "tRNA". From Rfam's summary of the family: Transfer RNA (tRNA) molecules are approximately 80 nucleotides in length. The record is from Rfam by way of RNAcentral. Lineage: Eukaryota; Metazoa; Arthropoda; Arachnida; Ixodida; Ixodidae.
CCCUGAGCGGCCUAGUCAGUAGCGUGUCUGGCUUGCGACCGAAUGGUCGUGGGUUCGAAUCCCUCCUAAGGGA